AUGACUCUGAUCUGCGUCCUCAUCUGGACUCUCCUCUGCUGCUGCUUCACAGAGUCCAGAGGACAGGUCACAGUGAGUCAGCCUGCAGCAGUGAGCUCUGCUCCGGGAGGCUCAGUCACCAUCUCAUGCAGGACCAGUCAGGAUGUUUAUUCUUUAUUUUUUUCUCACUUCUUAGCCUGGUACCAACAGAAAGAUGGAGAAACUCCUAAACUGCUCAUUUAUGUUGCUAGCAGUCGAGCAUCAGGGAUUCCAGAUCGUUUUUCAGGCAGUGGAUCUGGAUCUAGCUUCACUCUGACCAUCAGUGGAGUCCAGACUGAAGAUGCUGCAGUUUACUACUGUCAGAGUGCACACUACAUCAACAGUCAGUGGGUGUUCACACAGUGA
Molecule: non-coding RNA, 384 nt
Organism: Notolabrus celidotus (New Zealand spotty)
Lineage: Eukaryota; Metazoa; Chordata; Actinopteri; Labriformes; Labridae
Source: the annotation of a RefSeq genome assembly